Molecule: ribosomal RNA, 473 nt
Filed under: uncultured bacterium
Lineage: Bacteria
Description: bacterial SSU rRNA
Rfam family: Bacterial small subunit ribosomal RNA
Source: RNAcentral
GCAGACCACUCCUACGGGAGGCAGCAGUGGGGAAUAUUGCACAAUGGGCGCAAGCCUGAUGCAGCCAUGCCGCGUGUAUGAAGAAGGCCUUCGGGUUGUAAAGUACUUUCAGCAGUGAGGAAGGUGGGUAUGUUAAUAGCAUACUCAUUUGACGUUAGCUGCAGAAGAAGCACCGGCUAACUCCGUGCCAGCAGCCGCGGUAAUACGGAGGGUGCGAGCGUUAAUCGGAAUUACUGGGCGUAAAGCGCAUGCAGGUGGUUUGUUAAGUCAGAUGUGAAAGCCCGGGGCUCAACCUCGGAAUUGCAUUUGAAACUGGCAAACUAGAGUACUGUAGAGGGGGGUAGAAUUUCAGGUGUAGCGGUGAAAUGCGUAGAGAUCUGAAGGAAUACCGGUGGCGAAGGCGGCCCCCUGGACAGAUACUGACACUCAGAUGCGAAAGCGUGGGGAGCAAACAGGAUUAGAUACCCUGGUAG